RNAcentral lists this transfer RNA (65 nucleotides) under Metcalfa pruinosa. RNAcentral's name for it is "tRNA-Asn". The record is from RNAcentral. Lineage: Eukaryota; Metazoa; Arthropoda; Insecta; Hemiptera; Flatidae.
UUAACUAAAGCUAAAAAGAAGCACUUCACUGUUAAUGAAAAAAUUGAAUUAAAAAUCUAGUUAAA